RNAcentral lists this ribosomal RNA (492 nucleotides) under uncultured bacterium. RNAcentral describes it as "partial 16S ribosomal RNA". It matches the Rfam family "Bacterial small subunit ribosomal RNA", at positions 29 to 507 of the family's 1533-position model. The record is from RNAcentral.
AGUGAACGCUGGCGGUAGGCCUAACACAUGCAAGUCGAACGGCAGCACAGUAAGAGCUUGCUCUUACGGGUGGCGAGUGGCGGACGGGUGAGGAAUACAUCGGAAUCUACUUUUUCGUGGGGGAUAACGUAGGGAAACUUACGCUAAUACCGCAUACGACCUACGGGUGAAAGCAGGGGAUCUUCGGACCUUGCGCGAUUGAAUGAGCCGAUGUCGGAUUAGCUGGUUGGCGGGGUAAAGGCCCACCAAGGCGACGAUCCGUAGCUGGUCUGAGAGGAUGAACAGCCACACUGGAACUGAGACACGGUCCAGACUCCUACGGGGGGCAGCAGUGGGGAAUAUUGGACAAAGGGCGCAAGCCUGAUCCAGCCAUACCGCGUGGGUGAAGAAGGCCUUCGGGUUGUAAAGCCCUUUUGUUGGGAAAGAAAAGCAGCAGGUUAAUACCCCGCUGUUCUGACGGUACCCAAAGAAUAAGCACCGGCUAACUUCGUG